GAUUUUCCACUCAAAGGUUCUAUAGCGAAAAAUGAGCUCUUACAUCUAUAACUUUUAUUAUGGUAUAUAUAAUGUUAAUUCUUUUGCUUUCAAGAUCCAAGAAAACAUUCUUGGCCAAAAUCUAGGGGAAGUUACUGCCACUUCGUACUAUAUAAGGAAAACAAAGACACCAUGGAUGCUAUUAAUGUACUCUCCAAAUACUUAAGAGUCAAGCCAAAUAUAUUCUCCUACAUGGGAACCAAAGAUAAAAGGGCUAUAACAGUUCAAGAAAUUGC
RNAcentral lists this long non-coding RNA (275 nucleotides) under Homo sapiens (human). Its description in RNAcentral is "non-protein coding lnc-EFCAB10-1:1". Lineage: Eukaryota; Metazoa; Chordata; Mammalia; Primates; Hominidae. The record is from RNAcentral.